This 492-nucleotide ribosomal RNA is filed under the name uncultured bacterium. Its description in RNAcentral is "partial 16S ribosomal RNA". It matches the Rfam family "Bacterial small subunit ribosomal RNA", at positions 29 to 507 of the family's 1533-position model. The record is from RNAcentral.
AGUGAACGCUGGCGGUAGGCCUAACACAUGCGAGUCGAACGGCAGCACAGUAAGAGCUUGCUCUUACGGGUGGCGAGUGGCGGACGGGUGAGGAAUACAUCGGAAUCUACUUUUUCGUGGGGGAUAACGUAGGGAAACUUACGCUAAUACCGCAUACGACCUACGGGUGAAAGCAGGGGAUCUUCGGACCUUGCGCGAUUGAAUGAGCCGAUGUCGGAUUAGCUAGUUGGCGGGGUAAAGGCCCACCAAGGCGACGAUCCGUAGCUGGUCUGAGAGGAUGAUCAGCCACACUGGAACUGAGACACGGUCCAGACUCCUACGGGAGGCAGCAGUGGGGAAUAUUGGACAAUGGGCGCAAGCCUGAUCCAGCUAUACCGCGUGGGUGAAGAAGGCCUUCGGGUUGUAAAGCCCUUUUGUUGGGAAAGAAAAGCAGCAGGUUAAUACCCCGCUGUUCUGACGGUACCCAAAGAAUAAGCACCGGCUAACUUCGUG